RNAcentral lists this ribosomal RNA (253 nucleotides) under uncultured bacterium. RNAcentral describes it as "partial 16S ribosomal RNA". It matches the Rfam family "Bacterial small subunit ribosomal RNA", at positions 524 to 776 of the family's 1533-position model. The record is from RNAcentral.
UACGUAGGCAGCAAGCGUUGUUCGGAGUUACUGGGCGUAAAGGGUGUGUAGGCGGUUUUUUAAGUUUGGUGUGAAAUCUCCCGGCUCAACUGGGAGGGUGCGCCGAAUACUGAGGGACUAGAGUACGGGAGAGGAAAGUGGAAUUCCUGGUGUAGCGGUGAAAUGCGUAGAUAUCAGGAGGAACACCGGUGGUGUAGACGGCUUUCUGGACCGUAACUGACGCUGAGACACGAAAGCGUGGGUAGCAAACAGG